This is a long non-coding RNA of Lotus japonicus, 2614 nucleotides long. RefSeq lists it as uncharacterized. The transcript is spliced from 5 exons. NCBI's taxonomy places the organism in Eukaryota, Viridiplantae, Streptophyta, Magnoliopsida, Fabales, Fabaceae. The record is from RefSeq and is a predicted model, not a curated record.
AUGUUUAGAGAUUAUAGAAUGGGAAUGGGAAUUAUUAUCGUGCAUUCUUCCAGCACCGCCCCUUCGCCCAAUUGCCUAUGUGCAGUCCCCCUAUUCUCUAACGCAUAUUUCAUUGAUGUUUUUUUAGGAUCAUCUGAAGGCUUUCAGAUUCUCCCCAUUCACCACCCUCCAAAAAACCUAUAAACCUCCUCUCUUUUUUCUCUCCUUUUCUUCUUUUAUUGCUCUUUCGCGUUUUAUCUUCAGUGGAAACAAUGGGUGUGUAAUGGAUGCCGUCGAUUUUUGUCCGCCACUGUGUAAGGUGGAGAAGGUGGCGGUGCGGUCUCUGAACAAGCUCCCGUUUGGGCUUCCGGUUCUGCCCCUCCGCUCGAAGUUCCUCACAAAACACAGUUUUUUUUUGUAAUUUUGUGCAUGUAGAUUAUAAUCGUUAAUUAGACAUCAAACGUUGUGAUUCGGGUAAAGCUGCAAAGUCUAAUGCUGAAGUCGGAUCAGAUGCAGAUGUGGAGCAAAUAUAACCUAAAUCAUGUGUUUAUCUGUGAGCACAUGUAUGAUCCUGCUACUGGGUCACUCAAGAAGCUGAUAUCAAAGCAACAUACUCAAAGUGGAUGCUACUUCUUCCUUAAGAAAAGAGAAGUGUUUGAAGACGGAAGACUAUGAUUGGCAUUGAUACAACGUCUGAUAGAAAAGAUGAAGAGAGAAAAGUAAAGAAGGAGCCUUUUGAGACAAAUCAGAGCUACAACUGUGGGAGAUGGAGAUGAUCUAUGUCGGUGGAAAGUCCAAUGUGCAGAUGGUCUUAAUGUGUGACGGGUUGCAGGAAGGGAAGUUGGUUGUGCAGAGACGGAGGUUUGGGACCUGAUCAGAUGGGAUGCAAUCAAUGGCAAGUGUUGUAAGUGUGAUUUUUUAUUUUAUUUUACUUAUUUGAUUUGAGUUUUGUUGGAUCUAGAGCUUGAAUAUUUUCUCUUGCUGUGUUUAUCUACUUCUUCCUUUGUACUGUGGUCACCUAACAUGUUGUGUCCUGCUGCUGUCUACAACCAUGUGAUCACUGAUCUAUCUUUAUAAGAUAUGAACAUGCUGUAGCUGGAGCUAUUGAUGGAUGAAAACAAAAUCUGUAUAAUAAAAUAUAAAAUAUGUUGAGUAAUGAGUUUGUUAAUUGUCGUUUCUAAACAUUCUCCUAACAUUUUUAUGUUAAUUGUUUGUGUUUGAUGCAAUUUUUCCUAUAUUGUUGGAGUGGAGAGAUGAUCCUGAGGUCAUUCUUGAUAAGCAUACAUGAGAUUUAUCUCCAAAUCUGGCUGCAGAAGCAGCACCAGAUCAGCUUUGGAAAAUAACGGCAAUAUAAGUGGCAGGAAACAUCAUGGUGUAGGCUACAAGAAUCACAUAAACCUCGAUGCUUUAUAUGUCAUGUAUUCCCACUUUUAACUAAGCUCUCUGAUUCUCUAUGUUAGUAAGUGACUUAAAUUAACCAAAGCAUUUAUUGAUCAAGGUGUGUUAGCAUUUAUUCUUAUGGCUUAUAAAAAAAUUGUAUUGCUCGAUGAGUAUGUUAAAUUGGAAAUAUUCUUUGACCAAGUGGCAUAGUCUAACUUAUACACGAUUGUCUUUGCUUAAUAACUAAGCAUUGUAAGUGCCACUAUUUUCUAUACAAAAAGAAAGUUGCUUAACGAGUUUGAAGGGAAGAUUUUCUAUAUAGAAAUUUCUAAUUAGAAUUUUAAGGGCUUAACAUGUUUAUGAAGUUUCAUGUUUAUGUUGCUUUGCAUAUAUGUCUCUGUUGGUGUGUAUCGGUCCCUCUUGAUUGGUGUAUGGUUUUAUCAAACUGAAACUUUUUCCAAUCAAAAUUCUUCUGUGCACAAUUAGUAAAUAGCUUGGCGAAUUAAUGUUACUAAAUUAAGAAACUAGGAAACAAACUUUGUUAUAAAAUGUGUUGCACUAUUAUGUGUUGCAGUAUAAAAUGUGUUGCACUAUGAUGUGGUGAAUCACAUAAUUUUAUUUGUUAGAGGUGUAGAACUGCUGCCACAUCAGUUCUAUAUACUGACUUACAUUGCUUUUUUAAAUUUACAGUUCAUGAAAUAGAGCCAAAACAAUGUGAUUCUGAAGUUGAACUACAUGAACACUUUGGUUCAUAUUAUGAUGACGUUUUUUAGGAGGGUGGAAAAAGAGUCAUUCACAUUCCAUAUGAAACUUUCUAGGCAUUACAAGUUCUUAACCUCACAUUUCUUUUAUGGAAUAAUGAAUUUAUAGAAUAUUUGUUCGUUUUGUUCAACAAGAGCUGCCAUAUUGACAUACGAGGAUUUCCAAUGAAUUUGAAAAGGUUUUCUCUAUCUUCAUCAAAUCAAGGAUUGUGGGGCAUGAUAAGCUAUUAAAGGAUAUGCUUCAGAUGAAACUCGAAACACUCAAGAUGCACUCAAGAUGCGACUGUUAGUGGCGAUUAGUGGAGUUGUAAAUGUAAAUGUGAAAGCUUCAAUCCAAGGUGACUCAUUUGGAGAGGUGGCAAGAUCUCACUUUUUUAUUGUACCCGCAAAACAUGCAUAUGGAUGUUUUGUUCUCAUUCAUUCUUCUAAUGCAUUAGUUACUGUACAUACGGUUAAAAACCUUUCAGUGGAGAUAUUGAAAAAAAUUGUGUUUA